Molecule: ribosomal RNA, 497 nt
Filed under: uncultured bacterium
Lineage: Bacteria
Description: partial 16S ribosomal RNA
Rfam family: Bacterial small subunit ribosomal RNA
Source: RNAcentral
GAUGAACGCUGGCGGCGUGCCUAAUACAUGCAAGUCGAGCGAACGGACGAGAAGCUUGCUUCUCUGAUGUUAGCGGCGGACGGGUGAGUAACACGUGGAUAACUUACCUAUAAGACUGGGAUAACUUCGGGAAACCGGAGCUAAUACCGGAUGAUAUUUUGAACCGCAUGGUUCAAAAGUGAAAGACGGUCUUGCUGUCACUUAUAGAUGGAUCCGCGCUGCAUUAGCUAGUUGGUAAGGUAACGGCUUACCAAGGCAACGAUGCAUAGCCGACCUGAGAGGGUGAUCGGCCACACUGGAACUGAGACACGGUCCAGACUCCUACGGGAGGCAGCAGUAGGGAAUCUUCCGCAAUGGGCGAAAGCCUGACGGAGCAACGCCGCGUGAGUGAUGAAGGUCUUCGGAUCGUAAAACUCUGUUAUUAGGGAAGAACAUAUGUGUAAGUAACUGUGCACAUCUUGACGGUACCUAAUCAGAAAGCCACGGCUAACUACGUG